AACGAACGCUGGCGGCAUGUCUAACACAUGCAAGUCGAACGAUGCUUUCGGGCAUAGUGGCGCACGGGUGCGUAACGCGUGGGAAUCUGCCUUUGGGUUCGGAAUAACAGUGAGAAAUUGCUGCUAAUACCGGAUGAUGUCUUCGGACCAAAGAUUUAUCGCCCAGGGAUGAGCCCGCGUAGGAUUAGCUAGUUGGUGGGGUAAUGGCCUACCAAGGCGACGAUCCUUAGCUGGUCUGAGAGGAUGAUCAGCCACACUGGGACUGAGACACGGCCCAGACUCCUACGGGAGGCAGCAGUGGGGAAUAUUGGACAAUGGGCGCAAGCCUGAUCCAGCAAUGCCGCGUGAGUGAUGAAGGCCUUAGGGUUGUAAAGCUCUUUUACCCGGGAUGAUAAUGACAGUACCGGGAGAAUAAGCUCCGGCUAACUCCGUG
Molecule: ribosomal RNA, 433 nt
Filed under: uncultured bacterium
Lineage: Bacteria
Description: partial 16S ribosomal RNA
Rfam family: Bacterial small subunit ribosomal RNA
Source: RNAcentral